CAGCAGCCGCGGUAAUGCGUAGGUGGCAAGCGUUGUCCGGAAUUAUUGGGCGUAAAGGGCUCGCAGGCGGUUUCUUAAGUCUGAUGUGAAAGCCCCCGGCUCAACCGGGGAGGGUCAUUGGUAACUGGGAAACUUGAGUGCAGAAGAGGAGAGUGGAAUUCCACGUGUAGCGGUGAAAUGCGUAGAGAUGUGGAGGAACACCAGUGGCGAAGGCGACUCUCUGGUCUGUAACUGACGCUGAGGAGCGAAAGCGUGGGGAGCGAACAGGAUUAGAUACCCCAGUAGUCCCUGUCUCUUAUAA
Molecule: ribosomal RNA, 301 nt
Filed under: uncultured bacterium
Lineage: Bacteria
Description: partial 16S ribosomal RNA
Rfam family: Bacterial small subunit ribosomal RNA
Source: RNAcentral